GAUGAACGCUGGCGGCGUGCCUAAUACAUGCAAGUCGAGCGAAUGGAUUAAGAGCUUGCUCUUAUGAAGUUAGCGGCGGACGGGUGAGUAACACGUGGGUAACCUGCCCAUAAGACUGGGAUAACUCCGGGAAACCGGGGCUAAUACCGGAUAACAUUUUGAACCGCAUGGUUCGAAAUUGAAAGGCGGCUUCGGCUGUCACUUAUGGAUGGACCCGCGUCGCAUUAGCUAGUUGGUGAGGUAACGGCUCACCAAGGCAACGAUGCGUAGCCGACCUGGAAGGGUGAUCGGCCACGCAGGGACUGGGACACGGCCCAGACUCCUACGGGAGGCAGCAGUAGGGAAUCUUCCACAAUGGACGAAAGUCUGACGGAGCAACACCGCGUGAGUGAUGAAGGCUUUCGGGUCGUAAAACUCUGUUGUUAGGGAAGAACAAGUGCUAGUUGAAUAAGCUGGCACCUUGACGGUACCUAACCAGAAAGCCACGGCUAACUACGUGCCAGCCGCCGCCAUAA
Molecule: ribosomal RNA, 515 nt
Filed under: uncultured bacterium
Lineage: Bacteria
Description: partial 16S ribosomal RNA
Rfam family: Bacterial small subunit ribosomal RNA
Source: RNAcentral